UGAAACCUCUGAUUGUGUUUGUGGCUGUAUAUUGGCUCAAACCUGACCUUGGUUGGGUUAAACUUAAUGUGGAUGGCUAUAGUAAAAGGAACCCGGGAUCUUCAGGAGGGGGUGGCAUUAUUAGAGAUCAUAAUGGAUCCGUGAUAUGUGCUUUUCUUUGAGUAUUAUGGGGAUUGCCGUAACAAUCUUGCAGAAGCUAAGGCAAUGCUUAGAGAGAGGGUAACAACACUGCAGACAUCUUUGGCAAAUCUAGGAGAGAAGGCCAAGAAUACAUUUAUCUUCAGUGGGACUGUUUCCAUUCCUUCUAAUAUUAGAGCCUCAAAAAGUUAGAAACUGAUGGACUACCAAACUUCAGAUUCAGAAAAAAGAAGAACAAAUAUGUCAUCCAUGACAGUGGAUAAUCUUUUGUUAAUACUCUCCACUAUGUACAUAGCAUCACUUAGCGAUGCUGCAAAUCACUUGGAGGAUUCCCAACACUAUUAUGCACAUGGUGGAUAUUUUUGCUUUCUUAUUUAUCAUAGGUUGGUGAUAGCCAAUUCUCAUCCUGUUUUGGAGGCUAAGGUUUAUGUCCUCCUCCGUGUAAUUAUGAUUUUUGGUAAAUAUACAGGUUGGAGUCA
Long non-coding RNA from Lycium ferocissimum, 617 nucleotides. RefSeq lists it as uncharacterized. The record is from RefSeq and is a predicted model, not a curated record. NCBI's taxonomy places the organism in Eukaryota, Viridiplantae, Streptophyta, Magnoliopsida, Solanales, Solanaceae. The transcript has 2 exons.